GAGAAGGAGGGAAUAGUCAAUGUGUUGAAUUUGUGGAGAUAAAAUAAGAUAAGAACAGAAUAGUGACACUUGGAAUUGUCAGUGUGGAAACCAGUGGUGAUCUCAGAGUAUCCCAGCCAGGCAUUUGCCCUUUCUUCAUCCUGACAAGAAUGAAGAUGUUUGCUCUGUGGAGAAAGUGAACCAGAAAGCCUCCAUACUUGGCAACAAGAGGCACAGCAGACCACGGAGGGGCUCCACACUGAAGCCUGGGGGGGUUCAAUAAGAGGCUGUAGUGAAAUCCUGUUUCCUUCUAACCUUGCACACAGAUCUUCCAAUCAGGUUUCAAAUGCAUCCUUCUUAACCAUGAUGAACAACUUGGAAAAUUGCAUUAUGAAAGAGAUCAACACAUACAUACUCACACUUCCCCAGACUAUAGGUCAGUAGUUUCCAGACUUAAAAGGCUUACCGAGUAUCCAACACGAAGGAUGGAAAAAAUUCACACCAUCUCACGUUAUCCUAAAAUCUCAGAGCACGAAGGGGCCGGCUCCAUGGCCGAGUGGUUAAGUUUGCGUGCUCUGCUGCAGUGGCCCAGGGUUCGGAUCCUGGGCACGGACAUGGC
Molecule: long non-coding RNA, 598 nt
Filed under: Equus caballus (horse)
Lineage: Eukaryota; Metazoa; Chordata; Mammalia; Perissodactyla; Equidae
Description: lncRNA (ENSECAG00000050172.1)
Source: RNAcentral